Molecule: long non-coding RNA, 132 nt
Organism: Poecilia latipinna (sailfin molly)
Lineage: Eukaryota; Metazoa; Chordata; Actinopteri; Cyprinodontiformes; Poeciliidae
Exons: 3
Source: RefSeq, a predicted model, not a curated record
UAAAAUACUCAAACCAACGGCUGUGUGAAACUGACACCCCACUCACGUCAAAAAAUCCAGCAAAUAGUCUGAAUGGUUAGUGCUCCGUUUGUGCAGGUUUGUGUCGUUAAAAUUUUCGUUUGUGCAGUUUUG